RNAcentral lists this ribosomal RNA (253 nucleotides) under uncultured bacterium. RNAcentral describes it as "partial 16S ribosomal RNA". It matches the Rfam family "Bacterial small subunit ribosomal RNA", at positions 524 to 776 of the family's 1533-position model. The record is from RNAcentral.
UACAGAGGGGGCAAGCGUUGUUCGGAAUUACUGGGCGUAAAGGGCGCGUAGGCGGCCUGUUAAGUCGAACGUGAAAUCCCCGGGCUCAACCCGGGAACUGCGUCCGAAACUGGCAGGCUUGAAUCCGGGAGAGGGAUGUGGAAUUCCGGGUGUAGCGGUGGAAUGCGUAGAGAUCCGGAAGAACACCGGUGGCGAAGGCGGUCGACUGGGCCAGUACUGACGCUGAGGCGCGACAGCGUGGGGAGCAAACAGG